GAACUUAUUUGUGAUAAAAUUUGUCAAAUUUUUGUAGUCAAAAUCAUCAUGUCGUCGCUUAAAAGGUCUUCAAUACUGACGAUUCUAAUUUGUCACUAAUUAUAAUUUAAUUAGAGAUGAUAUUAAUUAUCGUUAAAUUUAUACAUAAUUUGUAGCUAAAGUACGCAACCGUGUCGCUAAUUGAUUAUGCUUUAUGUACAAA
RNAcentral lists this long non-coding RNA (202 nucleotides) under Nicotiana benthamiana. Its description in RNAcentral is "long non-coding RNA (NBEN_LNC000174)". The record is from RNAcentral. Lineage: Eukaryota; Viridiplantae; Streptophyta; Magnoliopsida; Solanales; Solanaceae.